This is a long non-coding RNA of Apus apus (common swift), 585 nucleotides long. RefSeq lists it as uncharacterized. The record is from RefSeq and is a predicted model, not a curated record. The transcript has 4 exons. NCBI's taxonomy places the organism in Eukaryota, Metazoa, Chordata, Aves, Apodiformes, Apodidae.
UGUGCAUAUCUAACACAUUAAUGACACAAAUUCAUUACAAUAAAUGAAGACACAGACUGGCUGGGGGCCAGAGGCGAGUGAGGACAAAAAAAAGGAAAGGAAAAAAAAACACCACACAGUAAAAAAAAUAGAAAGUUGCUUUUGCUUCUGCCAGUUGGCAAGUUUGUGAUGUGAAGUUGGAUGUGGAGAGCUUCUGGCCAGUGAUGGGAAGAAGUGGCUGCUAAACACAGCAGCAGUGGUGCCAGGGGGCUGAGAGUGGGAAGGGAUGGUGAUCCAGCCAGGAUCUCCAGGGGAAAUGAAGGAGGCAAAUGGCUUUAUCAGCAGAGGGAUGGAUUGUGUGAAGCAGCUCACAGUUCCCAGCCUAGCACCACAGGACAAAGCUCCACCAGGUGACUCUACAGGGAAUCUGCAGGAGAAGACCUGAGCCAGCCUAGGACCACAGGACAAAGCUCCACCAGGUGACUCUCCAGGGAGCCCGCAGGAGAAGACCUGAGCCAGGGCUUCCUGGAGCCUUCUCAAUGAGGCUUCUGUGCUUCCAUGGGAUCUGGAUUUCAGCUUCCUGCAGAAUAAAGGAUGGCUCCCUUC